This 4079-nucleotide long non-coding RNA is filed under the name Panax ginseng (ginseng). RNAcentral's name for it is "long non-coding RNA (PGIN_LNC003490)". Lineage: Eukaryota; Viridiplantae; Streptophyta; Magnoliopsida; Apiales; Araliaceae. The record is from RNAcentral.
UUUGAGAUGGGGGUGAGAAUGUGACGCCCCCAAAUUCGGGUACUUGAAACCCUUAUUCAGUGCUUCACGAUAUCAAACAUUCAACAUAAAAUAAACUUAAACUUAGUAAAGUUAUUACAUCAAAGUGCUACUAAUCCCAGGUAUGUAGACCUUUAAAUGUUCAUUACAUGAUAGUUUAAUAUUUACAAACACGUAAACUAUCUAUUACAUCCAAUCCCAGCUAAUCUGUUACUUUUUCUUUCCCUUUGUCUUUUCCAGACCCUUCUACCCGAGUCUGCUCAGCUGAAAAUAUUUAUAAUAAAACAAGUAUGAGCAUUUAAUUGCCCAGUAAGUAAUAGCAUUCUUUAAGGCUCAACAAGAAAUAAAUAUUUUCUUUGAAGCAUGCUUUGACAGUGAAUCAAAACUGUAAAGCAAUAAAUCUUGAAUCAUUCACAUUUCUGGAUUAUCAUAUCAAUAUUGAAUAACUGAGAGGUCUUAAGACCAUGAACAUAUUUUUCUUUUUUUGAAAAGGUUCAAUCAGAAAUUUUAUCAGAUGAACCGUCUUAACUUACGAGCACGUAGGGUGAUCAGCCCUUUAUGCCCAGUAUUGAUCGAUACUAUCUUUUUCAGAACAAUUUUCAUGUUCUACAUCACCACUCCCAGAGUGCAAUAAAAAUAUCCCAUUUAAGGGUAUGUUCAUUCUCAGUUUUAGAUUCCAACUACAACAAUAUAGCUGGACAGCUUAAAUUAUGGCACAAUAAUAUUUCAAGACUUAAUAUAAAGAAAUUGAAAUAUUUUACAUCUGUGUCUGGCCAGAAGGAAUGGCUCAGAUUUCUAUACAACCUGCUCAUGCAUAUGAUAAUAUCUUACCCAAUCUUUUGAAGCUGAUUGGAAUAAAAAGAUUAUUCAAUCUUAUAAUAUUCAUAAAUAAAGAAAGACAGUUCAGAAUUUAGAGAACCUGUCCACAUAUGAAUAAUCUUAAAAUACUUGCUCAAUAAAGAGUAAGAUUUAGAUACUUGCCUCAUUUGUAGACUAUUGGUACAAUUUCAGUUUAACUUGUGUGUUCUCACAGAUCCUACACAAUUAUUUGUAUUCACAAACAUAUUAGCCAAUUAGCCAAGUCAUACAACUUGCAUUAUUAUUCAUAUAUCACACAGUCACAGUGAUCAUGUUUUUAGUUCAUGUUCUAUAUUUGAGAUAUUUCUAUACAUUUUUCAAAUAUUUCAUCCAUGUUCUUACAACAACCAUUUCUUUCUUUUAUAGGGUCUAACAUAAUUUCUGUUCAUGAACUUUUCAUGAUUUUAGUUCAUACUCCUUUUACUUCUUUUCUUUGCCAUAAGUAUACUUUGCAAUCUUCUUUAUAACUUAGGUAUUCAAGGUGAAUACAUAAGGUAUUUCAUGUAUUAAGUAUGAUUGUAUAUCAACACAACCCUCUCUGGCCUUAACAGUUUCAACAGCCCACUAAUAUGGCCUUGCUUGGGAUUCAUUGCUUUAAUUCCCUACACCUUUAAUCCCCUUGCAUUAAGCUUUGGAUAACAUGCAGAUGGUAUAUUCAAUUAAUACCAUAACACAUUAGCUAGGCAACUUACAGAAGUUUAGAAGUACUAACUAAGAGCUAAAAAAACUUCUAAACUUAAUCACUACCAUAACAGUUUUUUUUUGGUUGCUAGCUAGGACAACUGCUGCUACUUAAGAGCAGCUGCCCUUACCUUUCAAUCUUAGCUUUGUUAAUUAUUCUUUUGUUUUCCCCUAUUUGACCAAGUGUGUAGUUUCCUUUAAUGCACUAACAGCUCCUUAUCAUUCCUUCAUACUAACAGCCAUUUAUGCUUGGCUUUGUGAGAUCUAUUCAAUUUAAUGUGGCUUUGGUUGGGCUCAGUUUCAACUGAGUCUAACAAUCUUUACACUACAUUGGUAGUUAGCUAAGGCUUUCUGCCAUUGCUAACUAACAGCAGCUAUGCCCCUUCUUUGUUCAAUAUUUAAUGUUAAGAUAGCUUACAAGAUGUACUAACAUAUAAGUUAUACAUACCCACAACAUUAGUAGGUAUAAGGUAAACCAACAGGCAUUUAGUUGCUACAACAGUUUCUUUGCUGCUGCUCAUAGGUAGCAACAAAGUUUUCUCCUCCUUCACUUACAUUCUAAAUCUGCCAACACACUAUAAAGUCUAUACAUAUUUGCAACAUAAACUUAAACUAUACUGGAUGAUUAGCUUUUUAAAAUUACAACCUUCAAUCAACAUGAUUACCCAAACUGCUUUAGCAGUCAUUUACUAUCACCUGUUACUCGACAUUGAUGGCUAUUGCCAUCGGAUACUUCAUUCUUCUACUGCUAUAGAAUAACAUCCCUAACCUCUUGCUUUAGGUAACAUAUUUUCUUCAUGUAAUCAAAAUUAGUCUACACAAACUGUUGUAACAGUUAUACGUUGCUACCUAUUGCUGCCACUUCUUUUCUUUGAUCUAUGCUUUGCUACACCUUUAUUUUCACAUUCUUUGUUUGGUUGAGUUGAAUUUUGAAGCUACCAUAGAUUAGACAUUCACUUAAUAUUGAGAUAUAUUAGUUGGGCAAGUUUGGUUAGUUCAAAUGGGUUGACCGAGAGCCAAGGAAGACCCCAGUUAUUGCCUAACAUGUGACUGCUGUUGCCCCACUGCUGCUGCUGCUGAGCAGCAGCCCUGCUCCCUUUCUUUCCCAACUCUAGAAUAUUUUUCCCCAGAUUGCUAUGGUAGCAGCUCGCAACUGCUAGUUGUGUCAAUCACUGUUGUCAAGAACAGCAGCCCUAUAUCCCCAUUCAUCCAACUGCUGCUGUCGAGGCAGUAGCCUUGCACUUCACCACGCAAGAUUCAUUCCUUAUGGUAGCUCACAAAUUAUAGCAACAUGUAACUUAUAUAAACCCAAGACAUUAGCCUAUGUGAGUUAAACCAAAAGAAGUUUCUAAUUUAACAACUGAGAGCUUUAAAAGAGCCUCAGCCCAACGCCUCCCACUGCCACUGCUGCUGCUACAGGCAGCAGCUCUGUGGCUAACAUAGCUAGUUUGCUAAUUUCACGUUUCUAAUCUAUAUGCUUGUUUAUAACCAUUUUUAAAUAUGUAACACAGAACAUAUGGAAGUAUUUUAUGCAUAUAAAACCCCUCCAUUUCAGCCUUAGUAUGCUGCCAAAUCAGUACCCAAAGUUGUCUCAAUAUGAUAAAAUCUCAACUAUUAACUUUAGCCUAAAAUGUGCACAGCGUUUAAGUUUAACAUGCUAACAAACUUUAAUUAACAUCACAUACGAUAACUAGAUUAGGCCCAUGCUUUACCUUGUUCUAAUAUUCAAUUUUUAACCAAAAAGUUCUUUUAGAACUUUUAUCGAACACUUGGUAGGCAUAGUUUCAGGCUAUCAGUUUCACAACCACUUGUUUAUGUCACCAACCCAUUUCAUUCUCCUUAUAUCUCCUCAGCCCAACCUAAACCCCUUUGUUCUAACUCAGCCCACAGCAGUCAAAUACACAGUAAAGUUCAUAUCUAAUCAACGAAUUAGUAGCUAGUUAGUUCAUGCUACCAUUAUACAAUCACAUUAGACUCAAAUUGAUGCAAUAUAAACUGAACAUAGACUUCAAACAUAGCACAGUUGCUUAGAACAUUAGUUAGCUAGUAAGAAUACCUUUUGUUUUGAUUUCCUUCUUUAGUCCUUAAUCUCCAAUGUCCUCUACUAUAAUUGUGUUCUCCUUUAAUUUACUCAAACGUUUGCCCCAGCACAAUCAUGAACUUCAUUCAUCCAGGCUCUAGCUAAGUGAGGAAAUCAGGAUUUUCGUAUGAGAGAGUUUGACGGGUGAACAGGGAGAUAAGAAGAGUAACCUUGCCUUAUAUAAACUCAAUCCUUACUCCUCACGAAUUGUACCCGCUCUGCCAUUAAUAGGCAUGUUGAGUUUGCAAAGCUAUCCUAACACAUUCAUGCCAGCUCCUGCUAAUACCACUUGAAGGUUACGCCUUCAAUUACACUUCCCAGCUCAUGCUAAUCCUUUUUAAUUGCUAAGUUUUAAUCUAAAGCUGUGUUUGGUUAAAAUAACCAAUUAUCUUCCUUUCCGUACAUAUCACAUAGCAAAAACUACAUUUUAACUAUACUGAAU